Non-coding RNA from Gossypium raimondii (Peruvian cotton), 145 nucleotides. The record is from Rfam. NCBI's taxonomy places the organism in Eukaryota, Viridiplantae, Streptophyta, Magnoliopsida, Malvales, Malvaceae.
UAUUAAAAGUUUCAUUCAUUUGUAUUGUUAAAACUAAUGUGACUGACAGAAUAACCAAAUAGUAACAUAUGACAUGCUAUGUAUAUUUCAUAUUGACGUAUAGAAACCCGUUUUUUAACAGCAACAAUAGAUAAAAUUUUCUCUA